GUAGGGAAUAUUGCUCAAUGGGCGAAAGCCUGAAGCAGCAACGCCGCGUGGAGGAUGACACUUUUCGGAGCGUAAACUCCUUUUGCUGGGGAAGAAAUUUGACGGUACCCAACGAAUAAGCACCGGCUAACUCCGUGCCAGCAGCCGCGGUAAUACGGAGGGUGCAAGCGUUACUCGGAAUCACUGGGCGUAAAGGACGCGUAGGCGGAUUAUCAAGUCUUUUGUGAAAUCUAAUGGCUUAACCAUUAAACUGCUUGAGAAACUGAUAAUCUAGAGUGAGGGAGAGGCAGAUGGAAUUGGUGGUGUAGGGGUAAAAUCCGUAGAGAUCACCAAGAAUACCCAUUGCGAAGGCGAUCUGCUAGAACUCAACUGACGCUAAUGCAUGAAAGCGUGGGGAGCAAACAGGAUUAGAUACCCCGGGUAGUCC
RNAcentral lists this ribosomal RNA (427 nucleotides) under uncultured bacterium. RNAcentral describes it as "bacterial SSU rRNA". It matches the Rfam family "Bacterial small subunit ribosomal RNA", at positions 354 to 796 of the family's 1533-position model. The record is from RNAcentral.